CUGCUCCUAGUACGAGAGGACCGGAGUGGACAGACCUCUAGUGUGCCAGUUGUUCCGCCAGGAGCAUCGCUGGGUAGCCAUGUCUGGCAGAGAUAACCGCUGAAAGCAUCUAAGUGGGAAACUCGCCCUAAGAUUAGAUCCCUGACCCGUAAGGGUGUAAGACCCCAGGUAGACUACCUGGUAUAUAGGCAGUAUGUGUAAGCACAGUAAUGUGUUAAGCUAAACUGUACUAAUGGUUGAUUCGCUUCCUUCC
This 253-nucleotide ribosomal RNA is filed under the name Anaerolineales bacterium. RNAcentral describes it as "partial 23S ribosomal RNA". It matches the Rfam family "Bacterial large subunit ribosomal RNA", at positions 2672 to 2925 of the family's 2925-position model. The record is from RNAcentral. Lineage: Bacteria; Bacillati; Chloroflexota; Anaerolineae; Anaerolineales.